UACGUAGGGGGCAAGCGUUGUCCGGAAUUACUGGGCGUAAAGGGUUUGUAGGUGGCCCGCUAAGUCACACGUGAAAUCCCUCAGCUUAACUGGGGAACUGCGUGUGAGACUGGCAGGCUCGAGGGCAGGAGAGGAACGCGGAAUUCCAGGUGUAGCGGUGAAAUGCGUAGAUAUCUGGAGGAACACCGGUGGCGAAGGCGGCGUUCUGGACUGUCUCUGACACUGAAGAACGAAAGCCAGGGGAGCAAACGGG
This 253-nucleotide ribosomal RNA is filed under the name uncultured bacterium. RNAcentral's name for it is "partial 16S ribosomal RNA". It matches the Rfam family "Bacterial small subunit ribosomal RNA", at positions 524 to 776 of the family's 1533-position model. The record is from RNAcentral.